AUUUGUUAGACGAGGUAACAUCAUAAAACCCUUCCAAAUUCUGAGCUGGAAUGUAAGUUAAGGUACGACCAACAGUGGGUUUGUUUUUACAUAGAGAGGUUAGUAGACAUGAGAAAAAUAUAAAGGUUAGAAAAAUGGCUAUAAUAACAAAUAUAGCUAAUAGCAAAAAGUACAAACUUUUCUUAAUUUGUAAAGUCAAUGGCUGCUCUGUUCUCAAGGAUUGC
Non-coding RNA from Pelobates cultripes (western spadefoot toad), 224 nucleotides. The record is from the annotation of a GenBank genome assembly. Lineage: Eukaryota; Metazoa; Chordata; Amphibia; Anura; Pelobatidae.